ACGAACGCUGGCGGCAGGCCUAACACAUGCAAGUCGAACGCCGUAGCAAUACGGAGUGGCAGACGGGUGAGUAACACGUGGGAACAUACCCUUCGGUUCGGAAUAACUCAGGGAAACUUGAGCUAAUACCGGAUACGUCCGCGAGGAGAAAGAUUCAUCGCCGGAGGAUUGGCCCGCGUCUGAUUAGCUUGUUGGUGAGGUAAUGGCUCACCAAGGCGACGAUCAGUAGCNGGUCUGAGAGGAUGAUCAGCCACAUUGGACUGAGACACGGCCCAAACUCCUACGGGAGGCAGCAGUGGGGAAUAUUGGACAAUGGCGCAAGCCUGAUCCAGCCAUGCCGCGUGAGUGAUGAA
This 353-nucleotide ribosomal RNA is filed under the name uncultured bacterium. RNAcentral describes it as "bacterial SSU rRNA". It matches the Rfam family "Bacterial small subunit ribosomal RNA", at positions 29 to 412 of the family's 1533-position model. The record is from RNAcentral.